AAACGAGGAAGUGAAGUCAAGUCCGCCAUUUCAUCUUCUUCUUUUUAUCGGAAAAGAAAGGAAUCAUGCAAGGAUGCAAGCUGAAGGAAAGGACAACUCUCACAUCAGUGCAUUACUUAUUGUUUGACUUCAUCAUCAAGCACACCAGCUCAGAUUGUGAUGGACCUGGAAUGCGACACCAGUUACUCUUAAAGCCUGAUUUAUACUUCUGCGUCAGGGGACCGGCGUAACCAACGGCGCAUGCAACGCGCGUGGCUGUGCAUUUAUACUUCUGCGCGCUGUCUCUGUUGGUC
Danio rerio (zebrafish) is the source of this 293-nucleotide non-coding RNA. The record is from Ensembl. Lineage: Eukaryota; Metazoa; Chordata; Actinopteri; Cypriniformes; Danionidae.